CAAUCAAAAACAUAUGAAACAUGGAUCUGAAAUUUCUAGAAAAAUUACAGUAAAUUUCUGAAAAAUUUUGCAGAGAACAAAACGGCAAGGCAGAGGCAAAUAGUGCUCUGAUACCAACUGUUAGAGCUUUAUCACGAUCUAUCAUGUGAAUAAACAACAACAUAUAGAUCAAAUGCGGAAACUGAAGAUCAUAAACUAACCUCCAGCCAUUGUCGUUUGAACUGCAGAAUUUCGAAUUGUGUUUGGUGCUUCCAAGCCUUCAAGACCUCUCUGCGAUGGUGUAGUUUCAUGAAAGUCUCGGCUUGGGGACCAAUACCACUUUAUUCCCUUUAUAUACUUCUUCCCAUCAAAGAAGUUACGA
RNAcentral lists this long non-coding RNA (361 nucleotides) under Olea europaea (common olive). RNAcentral's name for it is "long non-coding RNA (OEUR_LNC013364)". The record is from RNAcentral. Lineage: Eukaryota; Viridiplantae; Streptophyta; Magnoliopsida; Lamiales; Oleaceae.